GAAGCGGCGCUACUCCUUGGGGGAAGAUGGCGCCCUUGGGGCUGAAGGCGGUGGUAGGGGAAAAAAUUCUAAGCGGAGUCAUCCGGAGCGUUAAGAAGGAUGGCGAGUGGAAGGUACUCAUCAUGGACCACCCAAGCAUGCGAAUCUUGUCAUCCUGUUGUAAAAUGUCAGAUAUCUUGGCGGAGGGCAUCACCAUUGUGGAAGACAUCAACAAACGGAGAGAACCCAUUCCCAGCCUGGAGGCAAUUUAUUUGCUAAGUCCCACGGAGAAGUCGGUUCAGGCCCUGAUUGCAGACUUCCAGGGGACACCAACCUUCACCUACAAAGCAGCCCAUAUCUUCUUCACUGACACAUGCCCUGAGCCCUUGUUCAGUGAACUGGGCCGCUCUCGCCUGGCAAAGGUGGUGAAGACACUGAAAGAGAUCCACCUUGCCUUCCUCCCCUAUGAGGCUCAGGUGUUCUCUCUGGAUGCCCCGCACAGCACCUACAACCUUUACUGCCCGUUUCGAGCAGGCGUGCGGGGACGGCAGCUUGAUGCGUUGGCCCAGCAGAUAGCCACACUGUGUGCCACUCUUCAGGAAUACCCGUCCAUUCGCUACCGCAAGGGUCCAGAAGACACAGCCCAGCUGGCCCAUGCUGUCCUGGCCAAGCUGAAUGCCUUCAAAGCAGACACUCCUAGUCUGGGCGAGGGCCCAGAGAAAACACGCUCGCAGCUGCUCAUAAUGGACCGGGCAGCGGACCCCGUGUCCCCACUAUUACAUGAACUCACAUUCCAAGCCAUGGCCUAUGAUCUUCUCAACAUCGAACAGGACACAUACAGGUAUGAGACCACAGGGCUGAGUGAGUCCCGGGAGAAGGCCGUGCUCCUGGAUGAAGAUGAUGACCUGUGGGUGGACCUUCGGCACAUGCACAUAGCAGAUGUUUCCAAGAAGGUCACCGAGCUCCUGAAGACAUUCUGUGAGAGUAAGCGGCUGACCACGGACAAGGCCAACAUCAAAGACCUGUCCCACAUCCUGAAAAAGAUGCCACAGUAUCAGAAGGAGUUGAACAAGUACUCUACGCACCUGCAUUUAGCAGAUGACUGCAUGAGGCAUUUCAAGGGCUCAGUGGAGAAGCUGUGCAGUGUGGAGCAGGACCUGGCCAUGGGCUCUGAUGCAGAGGGUGAGAAGAUCAAGGACGCCAUGAAGCUGAUUGUCCCCGUGCUGCUGGACGCCUCGGUGCCACCCUAUGACAAGAUCCGAGUUCUGUUGCUCUACAUCCUUCUGCGGAAUGGUGUGAGUGAGGAAAACCUGGCCAAGCUGAUCCAGCACGCCAAUGUGCAGUCCUACAGCAGCCUCAUCCGGAACUUGGAGCAGCUGGGGGGCAUUGUUACGAACUCCGGGCCCUACCCCGUCUCCCUGCCUUUGUGUCCAUCUCUGUAUCUGUGUGUCUGUAUAUGCCUCUCUGUUUGUCUUUUCUUGGCUCUGUCUCUUAUCUCCCAUGUCUGUCUUUACCUGUCUCUCUGUCUUCCCAUCUUUCUUUGUCUCUCUCUGUCUCUCUCUCUCUCCAUUUCUGCCUCUGCCUAUCUCUGCCUCUCGAGUUCUCUUUGCCUCUGUCUCUCUGCUUUUCCUGUGUUUCUGUGUCUCUAUCUCUCUGUCUGUUUUUUCUCUCUUUUUGCUACUGCUUUCCUCUGUCUCUUCCUGCUCUAUUUCUCCAUCUUUCUGUGUACCCCCAUAGCCCCUCUCCAUCUGUGAUGGGCCUCCUUCCCUUCCCAAUCCCGUUCUGUCCCCACCUGGCCCCCUCUGUAGGGCUCAGGGACCCCUAGCCGGCUGGAGCGGAGAGAGCGCAUGGAGCCCACCUACCAGCUGUCUCGCUGGUCCCCAGUCAUCAAGGACGUGAUGGAGGAUGUGGUGGAGGACCGGCUAGACCGAAAGCUGUGGCCCUUCGUGUCUGACCCUACCCCUGUGCCUAGUUCCCAGGCAGCUGUCAGUGCUCGCUUUGGCCACUGGCAUAAAAACAAAGCUGGUGUAGAGGCCCGGGCUGGGCCCAGGCUUAUCGUGUAUAUUGUGGGUGGUGUCACCAUGUCUGAAAUGAGGGCUGCCUAUGAGGUGACCAGGGCCACUGAAGGCAAGUGGGAGGUGCUUAUAG
Molecule: non-coding RNA, 2127 nt
Organism: Arvicanthis niloticus (Nile rat)
Lineage: Eukaryota; Metazoa; Chordata; Mammalia; Rodentia; Muridae
Source: RefSeq, a predicted model, not a curated record